GCUGGGCACAGUGGAGCAUGCCUGUAAUCCCAGUAGCUCAGGAGGCUGAGACAGGAGGAUCAAGAGUUCAAAAGCAGCCUCAGCAAUAGGGACGCGCUAAGCAACUCAGCGAGACCCUUUCUCUA
This 125-nucleotide small RNA is filed under the name Marmota monax (woodchuck). The record is from RNAcentral. Lineage: Eukaryota; Metazoa; Chordata; Mammalia; Rodentia; Sciuridae.